This 41-nucleotide ribosomal RNA is filed under the name Cadophora sp. REF037. RNAcentral's name for it is "partial 28S ribosomal RNA". Lineage: Eukaryota; Fungi; Ascomycota; Leotiomycetes; Helotiales; Ploettnerulaceae. RNAcentral also lists the same sequence under 3 other names. The record is from RNAcentral.
UGACCUCGGAUCAGGUAGGGAUACCCGCUGAACUUAAGCAA